AGCAGCCGCGGUAAUUCCAGCUCCAAUAGCGUAUAUUAAAGUUGUUGCAGUUAAAAAGCUCGUAGUUGAAUUUCGGGAUCAAUAUGUUGGUCGUGCCUCGGUACGUACUGGCGUCAUUGGUUUCUACCUUCUGAAGAACCUCGAUGUCAUUAAUUUGGUGUCUUGGGGAAUCAGGACUGUUACUUUGAAAAAAUUAGAGUGUUUAAAGCAGGCUCACGCUUGAAUACAUUAGCAUGGAAUAAUGAAAUAGGACGUUUGAUUCUAUUUUGUUGGUUUCUAGGAUCGACGUAAUGAUUAAUAGGGAUAGUUGGGGGCAUUAGUAUUCAAUUGUCAGAGGUGAAAUUCUUGGAUUUAUUGAAGACUAACUACUGCGAAAGCAUUUGCCAAGGAUGUUUUCAUUAAUCUAAGAACGAAAGUUAGGGGAUCGAAGACGAUCAGAUACCGUCGUAGUCUUAACCAUAAACUAUAGCCGACUAGGGAUCGGAUGAUGUUAAUUUUUAAUGACUCAUUCGGCGCCUUA
Molecule: ribosomal RNA, 520 nt
Filed under: uncultured Glomus
Lineage: Eukaryota; Fungi; Glomeromycota; Glomeromycetes; Glomerales; Glomeraceae
Description: SSU rRNA
Rfam family: Eukaryotic small subunit ribosomal RNA
Source: RNAcentral